RNAcentral lists this ribosomal RNA (700 nucleotides) under Oerskovia enterophila. RNAcentral's name for it is "bacterial SSU rRNA". It matches the Rfam family "Bacterial small subunit ribosomal RNA", at positions 113 to 827 of the family's 1533-position model. Lineage: Bacteria; Bacillati; Actinomycetota; Actinomycetes; Micrococcales; Cellulomonadaceae. The record is from RNAcentral.
ACACGUGAGCAACCUGCCCCAGACUUCGGGAUAAGCCUUGGAAACGAGGUCUAAUACUGGAUAUGAGGUCACAUCGCAUGGUGUGGUCUGGAAAGAUUUAUCGGUCUGGGAUGGGCUCGCGGCCUAUCAGCUUGUUGGUGGGGUAGUGGCCUACCAAGGCGACGACGGGUAGCCGGCCUGAGAGGGCGACCGGCCACACUGGGACUGAGACACGGCCCAGACUCCUACGGGAGGCAGCAGUGGGGAAUAUUGCACAAUGGGCGCAAGCCUGAUGCAGCGACGCCGCGUGAGGGAUGAAGGCCUUCGGGUUGUAAACCUCUUUCAGCAGGGAAGAAGCGCAAGUGACGGUACCUGCAGAAGAAGCGCCGGCUAACUACGUGCCAGCAGCCGCGGUAAUACGUAGGGCGCAAGCGUUGUCCGGAAUUAUUGGGCGUAAAGAGCUCGUAGGCGGUCUGUCGCGUCUGGUGUGAAAACUCAAGGCUCAACCUUGAGCUUGCAUCGGGUACGGGCAGACUAGAGUGCGGUAGGGGAGACUGGAAUUCCUGGUGUAGCGGUGGAAUGCGCAGAUAUCAGGAGGAACACCGAUGGCGAAGGCAGGUCUCUGGGCCGCAACUGACGCUGAGGAGCGAAAGCAUGGGGAGCGAACAGGAUUAGAUACCCUGGUAGUCCAUGCCGUAAACGUUGGGCACUAGGUGUGGGG